Molecule: non-coding RNA, 89 nt
Organism: Suillus lakei
Lineage: Eukaryota; Fungi; Basidiomycota; Agaricomycetes; Boletales; Suillaceae
Source: the annotation of a GenBank genome assembly
AGUACAAUGGCAAGUGGUUAAGGCGAGAGAUUUGGAUCACAGAUAUCUCUUACGGUUUCCGUGCACAGGUUCAAAUCUUGCUGGUGUCG